GGUGAGGUGCCGGAGUGGCUGAAGGAGCACGCUAGGAAUUUGUGUAUACGGCAGCGUACGGGGGGUUCGAACCCCCCCCUCGCCGCCA
This 88-nucleotide transfer RNA is filed under the name Escherichia coli. RNAcentral describes it as "tRNA-Pro". It matches the Rfam family "tRNA". Rfam says of the family: Transfer RNA (tRNA) molecules are approximately 80 nucleotides in length. The record is from RNAcentral. Lineage: Bacteria; Pseudomonadati; Pseudomonadota; Gammaproteobacteria; Enterobacterales; Enterobacteriaceae.